Molecule: ribosomal RNA, 249 nt
Filed under: uncultured Actinomycetales bacterium
Lineage: Bacteria; Bacillati; Actinomycetota; Actinomycetes; Actinomycetales
Description: partial 16S ribosomal RNA
Rfam family: Bacterial small subunit ribosomal RNA
Source: RNAcentral
GGGGUGCUCGAGUGGCGAACGGGUGAGUAACACGUGAGUAACCUGCCCUUGACUUUGGGAUGACUUCAGGAAACUGGGGCUAAUACCGGAUAGGAGCUCCUGCUGCAUGGUGGGGGUUGGAAAGUUUCGGCGGUUGGGGAUGGACUCGCGGCUUAUCAGCUUGUUGGUGGGGUAGUGGCUUACCAAGGCUUUGACGGGUAGCCGGCCUGAGAGGGUGACCGGCCCCAUUGGGACUGAGAUACGGCCCAG